Small nuclear RNA from Mesocricetus auratus (golden hamster), 109 nucleotides. NCBI's taxonomy places the organism in Eukaryota, Metazoa, Chordata, Mammalia, Rodentia, Cricetidae. The record is from Ensembl.
AUGCUCACUUUAGCAGUACCUGCACUAAAAUUGGAAUGAUACAGAGAAGGUUAGCAUGGCCUCUGUGCAAAAAAAUGACACACAAAUUCAUGAAGCGUUCCAGAGGGAG